Molecule: RNA transcript, 1928 nt
Organism: Alnus glutinosa
Lineage: Eukaryota; Viridiplantae; Streptophyta; Magnoliopsida; Fagales; Betulaceae
Exons: 3
Source: RefSeq, a predicted model, not a curated record
GAACCAGAGCCCCAUCCAGAUUCUUUCUGACAUCAUAUAUAAGCAGAUCUUCUGUAUCUCUCAUUUCCUUUAUUUUCUUCCUCAUCUCUCUCCCUUCUCCGAAAACCCUAAUUCAAAGUCUCUCUCUUUGUCUCUGUCUCGUCUGAGACAGUAAACAAGAUCGGCAGCCUGAAUGUAAAUGGAGCAGUCGGUUUAUCCAUGUGAAGAAUUAUUCAGCUGUUGGGUGUGAAGCAAAAUAAUAAAUAAUAGGAAUAAUGGAGGCUAACAUAUGUGAUGUCAAUCACUUGGAUGCCGAUGUCCUUUUGCCUCCUCGAAAACGACUGCUUGCUGGAUUGAAGAAGCAAAGCUCGAAAGCUGAUGGUGCUUCACGUCUCUCACUAGUUGCUUCUCCUUCUGCAUCAGCUUCUGCAUCUGCUUUCGCUUCUGCUUCUGCUUCUGCUUCUGCUCCUGCUUGUGCUCCGUCUUCUGCUGCUUUAAGUGACUUUGAGAUCCGUCUGAACAAUCUAUUGAGUUCUCAUUCAAGUCAUCCUAACCUUACACCAGAGGAAAUAGUAGAGGCCUCAAAAUCAGCAGCUAUUGCUGCAGCUAAGGCUGCAGAGGUUGCGAGAGCUGCAGCUGAAGAGAAGGCUGCAAUAGCGUCAAAAGCAAUGGCUGCGGUCAAGAGUGCUUUAGAUUUGGUUGCCUCAUUUUCUGAAGAGGCAGCCUGUAAGGAAAGAUCCCUGAAAAAGAAUAAGCUGAAGAAGCAUCUCCCAGUUCAGCUCUUGUAUAAAAAAUACCAACCAGUCGAAAAUAAUAGGACAGAUGAAGAGUUGGCCCGUAAGUUGCAUCGAGCUAUAAACAGCUCCCCAAGAAUCUCAAAGAAUUCUUCAAGUUCUGAGUGGAAGGGUCAUAAACACAAGAAGCCUAAAACCUCAGCAAGUUCCGAGAAAAGCAGGGUAUGCAAUGGGGGUAUUUUAUUGGAAAUACACCCCCCAUCUACGUCCAAUGGUCAUGCUGUUUCAGGCAAGAUCAACUCUGACAGCUCCAUCCGGGAGUCAUACACACUUGAAGCAGAUGAAAAGGACUGCAGGUCUGAUAAAGCUAGCCGACUAGAGAUGGAUAAUGGGGAAGCAGAAUCAAGUCAGCCAAGGGAUAAAACUUCGGAAGAUGUGUGUACCACCGGUAAAAAAAGGGGAAGGGUGAAGCUAAAAAGGUUGCCCUUAAGCAUUUGUACCUAUAGGGAUCGGGCAAACCCCAAGGAAGAGAUGAAUGUAAGAAGCUCCCCCAUGACGGAGAACAAAAUGGGAAGCCCUACUGCUGGUGGUAUGCCCUUAUUUUCCAUGGAGCCUUCAGCUGAUGGUGUAAUCCCAAUUGGGGCCACACCAGUGUGGAAAUGCCAGGGGUUCAAAGCACCAGCAUGUGUCAAACAAAAUAAAGUCCUGCAGUCAUGAUGUUCAAAUUGUAAUGUGAUGGCAGGUGGCUACUGUGAUAGAAGUUGAUAGCUGAGAAAUGAUAUUAAUGAGCUGAUCUUGGAAAUCCUCUCAUUUGAUAGAGAAGGUAACAACGGAGACAAAAAUAUAAGGAUCUAUGGACUCUAAUCUUAAGCUUGUUAACAGAAAGCUCAGACCCUUUGAAUGCUCGCCCAUUGCACCAGUUAUGGAUGCACCAAGAUUUUUCAUCUAAAGGAGAUAAAACCACUGCCUCUGUUGUCACUCUGGUACACUUUUUCCUUGAGCGUUACUCCUAAAGACUAGAGAGAGAAUGAAGAAUGAAUGUUUCCGGCAAGACCAACUCAGCCUGAAAUUAUUGGUUGCAGCAGGAGAUAGAAGAGGACAUUUGUGGCUCAGAUAAUCUUUUUUGUGUUUGAAUAAAAAAAGAACAGAAAAUAAAAUUGUGUAAUAUAAGAUCGAAGUUUUUCAAAUCUAUUAAAUUGACGUGUGUUCAAAAUA